RNAcentral lists this ribosomal RNA (425 nucleotides) under uncultured bacterium. RNAcentral's name for it is "bacterial SSU rRNA". It matches the Rfam family "Bacterial small subunit ribosomal RNA", at positions 354 to 796 of the family's 1533-position model. The record is from RNAcentral.
GUGGGGAAUAUUGCACAAUGGGGGAAACCCUGAUGCAGCGACGCCGCGUGAAGGAAGAAGUAUUUCGGUAUGUAAACUUCUAUCAGCAGGGAAGAAGAUGACGGUACCUGACUAAGAAGCCCCGGCUAACUACGUGCCAGCAGCCGCGGUAAUACGUAGGGGGCAAGCGUUAUCCGGAUUUACUGGGUGUAAAGGGAGCGUAGACGGAGCGGCAAGUCUGAUGUGAAAGACCGGGGCUUAACCCCGGGUCUGCAUUGGAAACUGUCGAUCUUGAGUGCCGGAGGGGUAAGCGGAAUUCCUGGUGUAGCGGUGAAAUGCGUAGAUAUCAGGAGGAACACCGGUGGCGAAGGCGGCUUACUGGACGGCAACUGACGUUGAGGCUCGAAAGCGUGGGGAGCAAACAGGAUUAGAAACCCCAGUAGUCC